AGGUACGGUGGAAUAACUCACUCAGUUGUCAUGAUGUAGCUGGAGUGUGGAUGAUUAGGACCAUCUUUUCGCUUUUUAAAAGAACAUAAGUGUGCUGGAAUAGCUGAUCAUCAUGUAACUAGCUAUUAAUAGUGACAGUGAAUCAGUUACAGGAGGAGGAGGGGGAGGAGCUACUAGUCCUUUGAAGAAACCAAAGAAAGAGAAAAA
Molecule: long non-coding RNA, 207 nt
Organism: Amphimedon queenslandica
Lineage: Eukaryota; Metazoa; Porifera; Demospongiae; Haplosclerida; Niphatidae
Exons: 2
Source: RefSeq, a predicted model, not a curated record